RNAcentral lists this long non-coding RNA (684 nucleotides) under Homo sapiens (human). RNAcentral describes it as "HSALNT0242378". The record is from RNAcentral. Lineage: Eukaryota; Metazoa; Chordata; Mammalia; Primates; Hominidae.
CAGCUGGGGAGAGGCAGGGCUGAAGAAGGGCAGGCUUGAGCAGGCUCCUUCCACCCAGACAAAGGUUGGCUGCUGCCCAAGUGAGAUUCUGCCCACAUCUCCACACCCGCACCCUUUCCUGUGGCCCACAUUGAGGUAUGAAGGUCUCCAGUAACCAGACUCUCCUCUACCUUGUUGGUUCCCCACCCAAACCUCCUGGCUGAAGCCCCUGUACCAGGGUGAUUUUUCCAGUCCCAGAGAAGGGAUUCUGCUCUGAUCCAAGGUAGCCCCACCUGGCCAGACACUGGGCACCCCAGGGGAGAAAGGAAUGAGUGAGGAUGCAGACAGGAGAUGGGUCUAGUGACGGAGGAGGGCAAAGGGCAGUUAGCAGUCUGGAGACAGUGAGUCACGCCAGUCUUCUCUGUGGAGAGACACCUGGGGUCUUGGGCCAAGGAUUGACAAUAGUGGUCUUGCCUUUGCCCCUUCACGGAGCCCAUGGGCACGAUGCUUGCAUCCUGGGGGAGCCCUUGGUCCCACGCCUACUGAGCUGCAAUGGACUUGAGAAUGCAGUGAAUUGUGUCUGUGUGGAUUGGGCAGGGCCAUCCACCAGGGCCUCUAUGGGGCAUGGAGAAUGUCUUCCUCAGGCAUUUGCUUCCCCUCACUCCCCAGUCCCCCACUCCCCCUUAGCACACAUGCACAGCCCCC